GUGGGGAAUUUUGGACAAUGGGGGCAACCCUGAUCCAGCCAUGCCGCGUGCGGGAAGAAGGCCUUCGGGUUGUAAACCGCUUUUGUCAGGGAAGAAAUCCUUUGGGUUAAUACCUCGGAGGGAUGACGGUACCUGAAGAAUAAGCACCGGCUAACUACGUGCCAGCAGCCGCGGUAAUACGUAGGGUGCGAGCGUUAAUCGGAAUUACUGGGCGUAAAGCGUGCGCAGGCGGUUUUGUAAGAUCGAUGUGAAAUCCCCGGGCUCAACCUGGGAACUGCAUUGGGGACUGCAAGGCUGGAGUGCGGCAGAGGGUGAUGGAAUUCCGCGUGUAGCAGUGAAAUGCGUAGAUAUGCGGAGGAACACCGAUGGCGAAGGCAAUCCCCUGUGCCUGCACUGACGCUCAUGCACGAAAGCGUGGGGAGCAAACAGGAUUAGAUACCCUUGUAGUCC
Molecule: ribosomal RNA, 450 nt
Filed under: uncultured bacterium
Lineage: Bacteria
Description: partial 16S ribosomal RNA
Rfam family: Bacterial small subunit ribosomal RNA
Source: RNAcentral